RNAcentral lists this ribosomal RNA (339 nucleotides) under uncultured bacterium. Its description in RNAcentral is "bacterial SSU rRNA". It matches the Rfam family "Bacterial small subunit ribosomal RNA", at positions 28 to 361 of the family's 1533-position model. The record is from RNAcentral.
GACGAACGCUGACGGUGUGCUUUAGGCAUGCAAGUCGAACGAGAAAGCCCUUCGGGUGAGUAAAGUGGCGAACGGGUGAGUAACACGUGGGCAACCUGCCCCUCGCAGGGGAACAACCGGAGGAAACGCCGGCUAAUACCCCGUAAGCUUUCAGGGUCGCAUGGCCUUGAAAGGAAAGGUAGCUUCGGCCAUCCGGCGAGGGAUGGGCCCGCGGUGCAUUAGCUAGUUGGUGGGGUAAAGGCCCACCAAGGCGACGANGCGUAGCUGGUCUGAGAGGAUGAUCAGCCACACUGGGACUGAGACACGGCCCAGACUCCUACGGGAGGCAGCAGCCAGGAA